UUUCUCUUCCCAUUCGUCCGUUGGCGUCUGGGCGUGGUUUCUCUUCCCAUUCGUCUGUUGGCGUCUGGUCGUGGUUUCUUUCUCCCAUUCAUCCAUUGAUGUUUGGUCGAGUUCCUUCCCAGUCAUCGGUAAAUGUCUGGUCGUACUUUCUUUUGGUGUCGGUAAACAUCAUCUUUCGAUGUCGGUAAACGUCGAGUUUUUUCCCAUUCGUCCGUUG
This 217-nucleotide long non-coding RNA is filed under the name Lathyrus oleraceus (garden pea). Its description in RNAcentral is "Pisum sativum (pea) long non-coding RNA (PSAT_LNC016011)". Lineage: Eukaryota; Viridiplantae; Streptophyta; Magnoliopsida; Fabales; Fabaceae. The record is from RNAcentral.